UUGCUCUCUGAUUCAGCGGCGGACGGGUGAGAAAUGCCUAGGAAUCUGCCUGAUAGUGGGGGACAACGUUUCGAAAGGAACGCUAAUACCGCAUACGUCCUACGGGAGAAAGCAGGGGACCUUCGGGCCUUGCGCUAUCAGAUGAGCCUAGGUCGGAUUAGCUAGUUGGUGAGGUAACGGCUCACCAAGGCGACGAUCCGUAACUGGUCUGAGAGGAUGAUCAGUCACACUGGAACUGAGACACGGUCCAGACUCCUACGGGAGGCAGCAGUGGGGAAUAUUGGACAAUGGGCGAAAGCCUGAUCCAGCCAUGCCGCGUGUGUGAAGAAGGUCUUCGGAUUGUAAAGCACUUUAAGUUGGGAGGAAGGGCAGUAAGUUAAUACCUUGCUGUUUUGACGUUACCGACAGAAUAAGCACCGGCUAACUUCGUGCCAGCAGCCGCGGUAAUACGAAGGGUGCAAGCGUUAAUCGGAAUUACUGGGCGUAAAGCGCGCGUAGGUGGUUUGUUAAGUUGGAUGUGAAAGCCCCGGGCUCAACCUGGGAACUGCAUCCAAAACUGGCAAGCUAGAGUAUGGCAGAGGGUGGUGGAAUUUCCUGUGU
RNAcentral lists this ribosomal RNA (600 nucleotides) under uncultured bacterium. Its description in RNAcentral is "bacterial SSU rRNA". It matches the Rfam family "Bacterial small subunit ribosomal RNA", at positions 80 to 676 of the family's 1533-position model. The record is from RNAcentral.